UUUCAUUUCAUCUUUUGUCAGAUUUCUUUACAACAACAACAACAACAACAACAACAGCAACAACAACAACAACGAUGAGUGAUAAAUACAACAUGACACGUUUCUUUCCUACACCAACACAGCCGUCCAUCACUACUGAGAAAUCCACUGCAUAUUCCUCUUCUGAAUCAACACAGCAGACCGUCACUACACAGAAAUCCACUGCAGGUCAGUCAUUCAAGUUUAAUGUGCAUUAUGUUAGAAUUGUGUGAUGUUCAUUUUACUUUGGUCAUUUGAUUUGGUGUAAGUAAUGCAAUAACAUUUGAG
Molecule: long non-coding RNA, 306 nt
Organism: Ictalurus punctatus (channel catfish)
Lineage: Eukaryota; Metazoa; Chordata; Actinopteri; Siluriformes; Ictaluridae
Source: Ensembl